RNAcentral lists this ribosomal RNA (254 nucleotides) under uncultured bacterium. RNAcentral's name for it is "partial 16S ribosomal RNA". It matches the Rfam family "Bacterial small subunit ribosomal RNA", at positions 524 to 776 of the family's 1533-position model. The record is from RNAcentral.
UACGUAGGGGGCAAGCGUUGUCCGGAUUUAUUGGGCGUAAAGAGCUCGUAGGCGGCUCAGUAAGUCGGGUGUGAAACCUCCAGGCUCAACCUGGAGACGCCACUCGAUACUGCUGUGGCUUGAGUCCGGUAGGGGAGCACGGAAUUCCUGGUGUAGCGGUGAAAUGCGCAGAUAUCAGGAGGAACACCUAUUGCGAAGGCAGCUCGCUGGGACGUUACUGACGCUGAGACGCGAAAGCGUGGGGAGCAAACAGG